This 326-nucleotide ribosomal RNA is filed under the name uncultured eukaryote. Its description in RNAcentral is "partial 18S ribosomal RNA". It matches the Rfam family "Eukaryotic small subunit ribosomal RNA", at positions 1470 to 1796 of the family's 1831-position model. The record is from RNAcentral.
CCCUUAGAUGUUCUGGGCCGCACGCGCGCAACACUGAUGCAUUCAACAAGCCUAGCCUUGACCGAGAGGUCCGGGUAAUCUUUGAAACUGCAUCGUGAUGGGGCUAGAUUAUUGCAAUUAUUAAUCUUCAACGAGGAAUGCCUAGUAAGCGUGAUUCAUCAAAUCGCGUUGAUUACGUCCCUGCCCUUUGUACACACCGCCCGUCGCUCCUACCGAUUGAAUGUGUUGGUGAGGAGCUCGGAUUGGCAGCAGUUGGUGGUUCGCCACCGGCUAUUGCUGAGAAGUCCUCCAAACCGCCCCAUUUAGAGGAAGGAGAAGUCGUAACA